AACGGACACUCUGGAAAGCGUUCCGGCGGGUUGUCGGAACCACCGAAGGGGUAACUCCGUCAACCGAUGGAGGAAAACUCUCAGGUUCCCGUGACAGAGGGGGCAUG
Molecule: regulatory RNA element, 107 nt
Organism: Sphingopyxis alaskensis RB2256
Lineage: Bacteria; Pseudomonadati; Pseudomonadota; Alphaproteobacteria; Sphingomonadales; Sphingopyxidaceae
Rfam family: Glycine riboswitch aptamer
About the family: This family represents the bacterial glycine riboswitch.
Source: Rfam